CAUCCACAGCUCAGACCUGUGGCAGCUGAAGACCUGCGGGUUGUGGGCUCAAACCCCGCUUGCUGUACUCUUGAGCGAGGUGCUUCACUCAGGUCGUCCCAAAAACCCGAUAUUCAGAGAAAAUUGUUUUCAACACCUUUCAACGUUCAACGUUCAAGAGGACACAGAUCUCGAGAUCUUCAUUCUUUCUCCAUUGCCAGUAAUAAUUAUUGCGGAAGACGUCUGUUUUUAACCCCACAUUAAGAAAACUUCAUAUUUCUGGAUAACUAGGAAAAAUAAACGACUGCCUGGUUU
Molecule: long non-coding RNA, 294 nt
Filed under: Lepisosteus oculatus (spotted gar)
Lineage: Eukaryota; Metazoa; Chordata; Actinopteri; Semionotiformes; Lepisosteidae
Description: lncRNA (ENSLOCG00000021585.1)
Source: RNAcentral